AACGAACGCUGGCGGCAGGCCUAACACAUGCAAGUCGAGCGCGUGUAGCAAUACACGAGCGGCGCACGGGUGAGUAGCGCGUGGGAAUCUGCCCUGUGGUGGGGGACAACCUCGGGAAACUGAGGCUAAUACCGCAUACGUCCUUCGGGAGAAAGACUUCGGUCGCCAUAGGAGGAGCCCGCGUCCGAUUAGCUAGUUGGUGAGGUAACGGCUCACCAAGGCUACGAUCGGUAGCUGGUCUGAGAGGACGGCCAGCCACACUGGGACUGAGACACGG
Molecule: ribosomal RNA, 277 nt
Filed under: uncultured bacterium
Lineage: Bacteria
Description: partial 16S ribosomal RNA
Rfam family: Bacterial small subunit ribosomal RNA
Source: RNAcentral